Acanthosepion pharaonis is the source of this 98-nucleotide non-coding RNA. NCBI's taxonomy places the organism in Eukaryota, Metazoa, Mollusca, Cephalopoda, Sepiida, Sepiidae. The record is from the annotation of a GenBank genome assembly.
UUGUAACACUAGUUCCCAUAUAAUCACUGAAGUUAAGCAACAUCAAGCCUGGUCAGUAACUAGAUGGGUGACCACUUUUGAAUACCUAGUGUUGUAAG